Molecule: small RNA, 33 nt
Filed under: Bombyx mori (domestic silkworm)
Lineage: Eukaryota; Metazoa; Arthropoda; Insecta; Lepidoptera; Bombycidae
Description: ovarian small RNA-16547
Source: RNAcentral
GCAUCGGUUGCCCCUCUCGUCCACGAGUGGACA